This 600-nucleotide ribosomal RNA is filed under the name Ralstonia solanacearum. RNAcentral describes it as "bacterial SSU rRNA". It matches the Rfam family "Bacterial small subunit ribosomal RNA", at positions 766 to 1370 of the family's 1533-position model. The record is from RNAcentral. Lineage: Bacteria; Pseudomonadati; Pseudomonadota; Betaproteobacteria; Burkholderiales; Burkholderiaceae.
GAGCAAACAGGAUUAGAUACCCUGGUAGUCCACGCCCUAAACGAUGUCAACUAGUUGUUGGGGAUUCAUUUCCUUAGUAACGUAGCUAACGCGUGAAGUUGACCGCCUGGGGAGUACGGUCGCAAGAUUAAAACUCAAAGGAAUUGACGGGGACCCGCACAAGCGGUGGAUGAUGUGGAUUAAUUCGAUGCAACGCGAAAAACCUUACCUACCCUUGACAUGCCACUAACGAAGCAGAGAUGCAUUAGGUGCUCGAAAGAGAAAGUGGACACAGGUGCUGCAUGGCUGUCGUCAGCUCGUGUCGUGAGAUGUUGGGUUAAGUCCCGCAACGAGCGCAACCCUUGUCUCUAGUUGCUACGAAAGGGCACUCUAGAGAGACUGCCGGUGACAAACCGGAGGAAGGUGGGGAUGACGUCAAGUCCUCAUGGCCCUUAUGGGUAGGGCUUCACACGUCAUACAAUGGUGCAUACAGAGGGUUGCCAAGCCGCGAGGUGGAGCUAAUCCCAGAAAAUGCAUCGUAGUCCGGAUCGUAGUCUGCAACUCGACUACGUGAAGCUGGAAUCGCUAGUAAUCGCGGAUCAGCAUGCCGCGGUGAAUACG